UAGAAACUGGCUUCUACUCAAAGCAGACAAACUGUCUCUCUCAUCUCUGAAAACUAAAAAUCUAAAAAGAAAAAAUUAGGCUGAAUACUAGAAGGUCAGAGAGUGGCCUUUUUGUCAACUCUUCAUGGUUGUGUUAAGUGCCAUUCCAUUCUGAGCUGGCAGUUCUUAGACAUGUUUCCCUCUAGAACAUAACACUAGAGAUGCUUGGACCAUCUGUCUGUCCGACAGACCAUCUGUACAAGGCACUGGCACCCCUUCCAGAAAAUAGAAGAGAAACUGAGGACACUAAAUAGGGAAUAACUAAGUCCACUUUGGAAAAAAGAAUACUAAGUGCUCACGAAGGGACCUUGUGAAUGAUCAUGUGCAAAGUUACGGAUGCUGAAAAGCCAAAGGUCAAAAGGCUGCAUCUGUUAAGAGCCUUCUUGCUGGUGGAAACUUUGAAGAGUCCCAAGAUGGCACAGGUUUCUCUGAUUUUUGCCUCUCAUAAGCUAGGAAGCACCCCAGUGGAUCAUAAUAGGGGAUUUUCAUGGAUACCACAGCUUCUAUGAUUUCGCUGAGUCCCCACCCAAAUCUCAUCUUGAAUUGUAGUUCCCCAAAUUCCCACAUGUUGUGGGAGGAACCAGGUGGGGAUAAUUGAAUCAUGUGAGCACUUUUCCCCAUCCUGUUCUAGUGAUAGUGAAUUCGUUUUCAUGAGAUCUGAUGGUUUUAUAAGGGGCUUCCUCCUUCACUGGGCAUUCAUUCUUCUCUCUCCUGCCACCAUGUGAAGACAGACAUGUUUGUUUCCCCUUCCACAAUGAUUGUAAGUUUCCUGAAGCCUCUCCAGCCAUGCUGAAUUGUGAGUCAAUUAAACAUCUUUUCUUUGUAAAUUAUCCAGUCUUGGGUAUGUCUUUAUUAGCAUCGUGAGAACAGACUAAUACAGUCACUGAUUUCAUAAGCCAAUAGUUGAUGCUAUGUUAAAGCAACAUUUCUCAAAUGGCCCUAAGAGAAUUAGGUUGGAAAAAAUAGGGUUGUAUGGGACUCUACUGUACAGUACAGGACAGUUAGCCUCACGGGACUUUGGGCAUUACGUGUCAAUAGCACUCACCACUUGUUGUAAAAUGUAAAAUGCCUCCUCCAUUUUCCAAAUGCUUUUGGAGGGAGUUGCUGAGUAGCAACUGUGGCUGAGAAACUCCAAUUAAAAACAAAUAAAUAGAUAAUUUUAAAAAUCUUAUCAUGAGGUGCCAAAUGGUAAAAUAGCUGACCAAGUUGGUAUAAACCACCACAGAGAGGAA
RNAcentral lists this long non-coding RNA (1271 nucleotides) under Homo sapiens (human). RNAcentral describes it as "HSALNT0174410". The record is from RNAcentral. Lineage: Eukaryota; Metazoa; Chordata; Mammalia; Primates; Hominidae.